CCUACGGGUGGCAGCAGUGAGGAAUAUUGGUCAAUGGUCGGGAGACUGAACCAGCCAAGCCGCGUGAGGGAGGAAGGUACAGAGUAUCGUAAACCUCUUUUGUCAGGGAACAAAGACUGGGACGCGUCCCCGGAUGAGUGUACCUGAAGAAAAAGCAUCGGCUAACUCCGUGCCAGCAGCCGCGGUAAUACGGAGGAUGCGAGCGUUAUCCGGAUUUAUUGGGUUUAAAGGGUGCGCAGGCGGUCUGUUAAGUCAGCGGUCAAAGCCCGGGGCUCAACCCCGGCCCGCCGUUGAAACUGGCAGUCGCGAGUUGGAGAGAAGUAUGCGGAAUGCGCGGUGUAGCGGUGAAAUGCAUAGAUAUCACGAGGAACCCCGAUUGCGAAGGCAGCCUGCCGGGGUGCGACUGACGCUGAGGCUCGAAGGUGCGGGUAUCAAACAGGAUUAGAUACCCUAGUAGUC
RNAcentral lists this ribosomal RNA (459 nucleotides) under uncultured bacterium. RNAcentral's name for it is "partial 16S ribosomal RNA". It matches the Rfam family "Bacterial small subunit ribosomal RNA", at positions 338 to 795 of the family's 1533-position model. The record is from RNAcentral.